This 2700-nucleotide unclassified non-coding RNA is filed under the name Patiria miniata (bat star). RNAcentral's name for it is "putative methyltransferase NSUN7, transcript variant X2". The record is from RNAcentral. Lineage: Eukaryota; Metazoa; Echinodermata; Asteroidea; Valvatida; Asterinidae.
UUGCAUGCAGUUCGUGCAUAAACAAUGUUACCGCGGCCGGCCCCAUCCACGUUCCAUCCAAGGUCUAAUUCUACCUCCAUGGUCUAGCUGUGAGAGUAUUGACAUUUUAGAUCAAUACUUUCACUCCAACAACAUGUAUUUGUGUGUUCUUUGCUGAUUUCAUCGAUUGUCGUACUUGUAUAAUAAGCUUUCGAAGUCUGAGUGCAACUUGGCUGAACUAUGAAAGGUUGAGUGCACUGUUUGCUGCGAUGCAGUAGCCGCGGUAUCCCUGGUGCAACAGGCCAAUCCAAAGUGCCGAGCUGCAUUAAAAUCCCUGUCAACAAGCCAACGGAGCGGACACGGGUGAGCCGUUGAAUCGUUAGAUGGUUGUGCAAAGACAAACACUUGGGCAGGACGCUCUCUGAUGACCAGAAACCAAGCUCAGCCCAACGAGCCAUUUUCCCUGAUAAAACAUUAAACACCCAGAUCAAACAGCGAGUUGAUAAUGGCACUUCUGAGUCAACACUACGGUGGUAGGGUACCGGGGAUGCUCAUUAAGGCCUACGGUUCCAUGCCAAGUACCAGUAGAAAGACCAGCAUCCCCAGCACCAUGAGCAACACCAGGGGAUGUGAAGUUGCUCCGGACAAUAUUCCCGUCCUGCCGGAGAACUCGGACCACGGGCAAGGGUGCAACCACGUCAUCUAUCACUAUGCGAGCCAGGUGUUCGGCAGUCUACGGCCGGCUAACAAGACGGACAAACUGGUGCUGGAUGUGGACCUGAGAGCAGGGCGGGAACCGCCAAAGUUGACGGCAAUCAAAGACGAACGGGCCAAGAGGAAAGUCUACGAUCUGGCAUUUGACGCACUCAAAUAUCAAGCCUUACUGGAGGAUAUGCUUGUCGACAGCGGUUACUAUGGCUACGACACAGUGCCUGACGAGAACCACGGCGUCAUCGUGGUCAUCCUGUGCGACAUGCUCAACCGCCGCUUUGCCAGGCGCAUCCCCGAAACCAACGAGCCCGUCAUCCCUUACGUUCAGGAAUUUGAGGACGAGCUGUUCGCCUACACCACCAAGCUGAACGCCUCCCUGGCCCGGAACCGGAUCAAGUUCCAGGCGCGGAGCGUGGAGUGUCUCCUGCCGGAGAAAGUCCGUCAGAGGGAGGAAUGCGGCACCAAGAUGCCCAUAUAUGCAUGGGUUAACCAGCUACAGAAUAGUGUUGAGGAGGUAAUGGAGCAACUGACUGAGGAUGGUUAUAAGAAGGUUCCGUCCGUCAAGGCCCUUGCAGAGUACAGCUUUGCCGUGGACUCCCAGUGCCCUAAUGUCCUGGUCUUUGAUGCUCAGAACAGGAACACCCUGGAGGAUAGUUACCUGGUCCGAGGAGGCAAUCUUAUCAUUCAGGAUAAGAGCUGUUGCCUGGGGCCCCACUCCGUCAAAUCCCUCCUGAAUGAAGGUGACGACGUCAUGCACAUCUACACCGGGUCUGGCUGGACCACGUCCCAUCUGGCGACACUGACCAAUCAGGAACUCUGCACCGUCUACGCGUUUGGGGUCAAAAACGAAGAGCAUAGCGAGCAGUUGAUGGCCAAUGCGAAGAAGCUGGGCAUACACAACGUGAAGUUUCUCCAGGACAACUUUUUUGAGGUCCAGCAUCUGGACAACCGCUUCAAGAAUGUCAAGGUGGUGCUGGUGACCCCGCAGGACUCCAGGUCGGGGGUCACGAACCCUGUGGAAUACAUUAUUCAUGAGGGGGCCGAUGCCAGUAUAUUGAGAGAGUUGUCUCAGGAGCAAGUGGAUAAUGACAAGAUCGACGUGCUAGUGUCUAAACAUAUGGAGCUACUCAAGCAUGCUAUGAAAUUUCCCCGUGUCCAAGCCGUGGUCUACACCACCAACUCCAUCUUCCAGGAAGAAAACGAGAAUGUAGUCACCAAGGUGACGGACUACAUCAACGCUCGCACGAUGGGCAAGAAUCCCUUCCGUCUGAUCCCCCCGGUCCUGCCUCUCACACCAGCCGAGCUGGAGAUGCAGUCGUCUUCAAAGUUCAUCAAGAUGGAGCCGUCGAGUUCCAUGGGAGGAUGCUUUCUGUCUGUCAUGAGUCGGGAGGAUGAGUCCAUGAGUGCCUCCGACGUCCUCGCCAGGGCGGCAGCCAAAGGUCUGUGUGCCCUGCCCGGCGCCAAGCCAACCCCAGCCAGAGGCGACGAAUCCAAACCCAAGAAGAAGACCUCCAAGACCUCUCAGAAGUUGCUGCCCAAGAGCGCCUCGGCCAAGAAGGAGAGGAAGGGGGCCAAGAUAGCCAAGAGUCCCACGCCGGACCACGCCUUCGGAGCCACGGUCAGAAGCCCCAGCCUGCUCGUCAAGAAGCCCAGCAGUAAGAGACUCCGACCCAUCAGAACUGCAAAAAAAGAUACCUCGAAGGGACCAGGGGACGUCCGCCGAAGGACCCAGCAGGAUUCCUGGGCGGAGCUUAGCGCCAAGCAUGCAUUAUUAAUGAGGUCGACCCCCAGAUAGUGACCGGUCUGGGGGUUUGUCCGCAAACCCUGAUUUUUAUUAUUGCAUGCUCUUGUGGUCUGUGCCAAUGCUAUAUCGUCUGAUGUUUGCCCACCACUUCACCAACACACCCACCACUGAGAGACAGCCCUACGGUGUCCCCAUGACCAAAGCGUCCCUAGUCAGAGUACAGCCUAAAGUAGAACUCAUACUGCCCCAUCAGGAGGCCCUCCAGC